GACGAACGCUGGCGGCGUGCUUAACACAUGCAAGUCGAACGGAAAGGCCCUGCUUUUGUGGGGUGCUCGAGUGGCGAAAGGGUGAGUAACACGUGAGUAACCUGCCCUUGACUUUGGGAUAACUUCAGGAAACUCGGGCUAAUACCGGAUAGGAGCUCCUGCUGCAUGGUGUGGGUUGGAAAGAUUCGGCGGUUGGGGAUGGACUCGCGGCUUAUCAGCUUGUUGGUGAGGUAGUGGCUUACCAAGGCUUUGACGGGUAGCCGGCCUGAGAGGUUGACCGGCCACAUUGGGACUGAGAUACGGCCCAGACUCCUACGGGAGGCAGCAGUGGGGAAUAUUGCACAAUGGGCGGAAGCCUGAUGCAGCAACGCCGCGUGCGGGAUGACGGCCUUCGGGUUGUAAACCGCUUUCGCCUGUGACGAAGCGUGAGUGACGGUAAUGGGUAAAGAAGCACCGGCUAACUACGUG
Molecule: ribosomal RNA, 468 nt
Filed under: uncultured bacterium
Lineage: Bacteria
Description: partial 16S ribosomal RNA
Rfam family: Bacterial small subunit ribosomal RNA
Source: RNAcentral